GCAGUCGUGGCCGAGUGGUUAAGGCGAUGUACUCGAAAUCCAUUGGGGUUUCGCCGCACAGGUUCGAAUCCUGUCGGCUGCG
Molecule: transfer RNA, 82 nt
Filed under: Rhipicephalus microplus (southern cattle tick)
Lineage: Eukaryota; Metazoa; Arthropoda; Arachnida; Ixodida; Ixodidae
Description: tRNA-Ser
Rfam family: tRNA
About the family: Transfer RNA (tRNA) molecules are approximately 80 nucleotides in length. Their secondary structure includes four short double-helical elements and three loops (D, anti-codon, and T loops).
Source: Rfam by way of RNAcentral